Molecule: long non-coding RNA, 2109 nt
Filed under: Triticum aestivum (bread wheat)
Lineage: Eukaryota; Viridiplantae; Streptophyta; Magnoliopsida; Poales; Poaceae
Description: long non-coding RNA (TAES_LNC003371)
Source: RNAcentral
GAAUGUUUUCAUUCUUUGAGUUUUGGUCAUUUUAAAGGUAUGCAUGCCACUACUCAUUUUUUUGCCUCUGUAGCCAAGUGUUUAAAUAGUGUAUGGACUAAAUCUGGAAUUAUAUGAGCUAAAUUAUAGUAUCAGAGUAUGCUGCUGGUCUUCAGUCUUCCGCUUCAUGGUUUAUCAUAAAAUAAUAUAAUCAUUUCCUCCAUGUGAGAGGUAGCAUAGCAAUAUAUUUAGUGUUAUCCAGCAAGUUUUUUGAGGCAUGUGUGUUCCUCAAAGAAAAAGGUGUGUCAGUCUCGGUGAUAGCCUUUGAGUUUUUGAACAAUUGCCACUGCUAAGGUGAUUGGAAAUUGCUUUGUACACAUUCUACUAGGCUCAUUUUCUGUUAAUCCCUACAAUUUCAGGAAUGAAGGGAAGGGAAGACGUGAGGAGAAAGCUCUACCUGCACAGGACACAAGAUCCUUGCCGGGAAUUCGGUUGUGCUUGUAUGUUACUGUAGAGCGACCAUUUCAGGGUGGAUGUUGAUGGUCUCAGAUUGAUUCGAUGCUGCAGCGAGGUAAAGUUGCUAUUUACUUCUCAAGUUCAGACUUGCAUAUCAAACAAACAUAACUUGGCAGCAAGGUUAACAUCUAGGAAAAAAUAUGUGUGUGUGUGCGCGCGUGCGCGUGCAUCUUGCAUGCGUCAGUGUCGAUACAUUCACAUGUUGAUAAGUAUACGAGCAUGUAGGCAAAUGAUGUCAAGACAAUUCAAGACACACAAUAUAUACUUUGGUAGAGAAAACCUUGUAUAUGUUUCAAUACAUAAUCUAAUGUGACUUUCAUGCAUUUCAAUAUCUACAAGAGGGUUAACACAAGAACCAUACAGUACCAUCUUGGAUCUUCCUGCCAUCAGAUCAAUGUUUUAAUACAUCAUUAGUGCAAGCCCAUACUAGCUGAAAACACAAACAUGGAAUUAGUUUCUAGGGGACGAUGCUUUGUUUGGAUACCAAAAAGAAAAAUAGUACACAUAGAGAGACUUUCUUCGUUGCAGAGUCACAACAUAUAAGGGUGCAUCUUUUGACCAUUUAAUGAAUCAGAGUUUUAAGUAAGACUAACUCAUAACUGGAGCGUGAGAUACUAAUUGCUUUCUUUGUAGUGAAGAUGGCCUCUUUUGGGGUGAGGCACAACUAUAGUUGCACAGCUAAAGUUCCUAUGUUCAAAGGUUAUAACUCCUUUUCCUUUGUAGUUUGGAUUUUGGAAUAAUUAUCCUGGAUAGAUGCUAGAAUGGGAGAAAUACCCAACAAAACACAAAUUUAGCAAUGGACAUGCAUGUCUUUUAAUCACUUCGGCUUGCUUCUAUUGUUUGUGUUUUCAUCUGGUAUGGGCUUUGAAGCAUGCCGUCGUCAGAAAGAAUCCAUCAUUUUGUCAAAAUAUUGGAUGUAUAACUAAUUCCAUGUUUGUGUUUUCAGCUGGUAUGGGCUUGCACUAAUGAUGUAUUAAAACAUUGAUCUGAUGGCAGGAAGAUCCAAGAUGGUACUGUAUGGUUCUUGUGUUAACCCUCUUGUAGAUAUUGAAAUGCAUGAAAGUCACAUUAGAUUAUGUAUUGAAACAUAUACAAGGUUUUCUCUACCAAAGUAUAUAUUGUGUUUCUAUUGUUUGCCUGAGUAAUCUGAAUUCACCUUAUAUUGUUGAAGUUAUUGGUCUAUCAAUUAUUUAUCUGUAUUUCAUUUUGCCAAAAAAGCAAACAAACAGAAGAGCCAAACAUUGCAUGCUUCGACAGACGAAACCUGCCCACGGAGGUGGUGGCGCCGGUGGUAGGCGGCAAUGAGGCAACAACGCUUCAUGAGGCGGUCAAGUCUGUGGUCGUGAGCCGAUGCAUCCACCAACGCCGCAAUCGAGUCAACUUCAGGACUCCAUUAGUGAUAGUUGGCUGUGUUAAAGGAAAAAAUUAUUAGGAUAAUAGAAACUGUUGGGAUAAUUUCUUUCUAUAGUGGAUGAAGUUAUUUCAAGUAACAUAUCUUGGUUUCUCCCUGUAGUCGUGUACUUAAGAAAAGCUCCAACACAAUGAAAUGGCAGCAAAGAAGCCCGUAUUAUGUUAGCACAAAAUACAUUUGGUAUUUGGCCUUCUUUUUUUNNN